RNAcentral lists this unclassified non-coding RNA (378 nucleotides) under plant metagenome. Its description in RNAcentral is "partial contains 5.8S ribosomal RNA, internal transcribed spacer 2, and large subunit ribosomal RNA". The stretch from base 1 to 105 matches the Rfam family "5.8S ribosomal RNA", at positions 50 to 154 of the family's 154-position model. The record is from RNAcentral.
GAAAUGCGAUAAGUAAUGUGAAUUGCAGAAUUCAGUGAAUCAUCGAAUCUUUGAACGCACCUUGCGCUCCUUGGUAUUCCUUGGAGCAUGCCUGUUUGAGUAUCAUGAAAUCUUCAAAGUAAAUCUUUUGUUAACUCAAUUGGUUUCUACUUUGGUAUUGGAGGUCUUUGCAGCUUCACACCUGCUCCUCUUUGUUCAUUAGCUGGAUCUCAGUGUUAUGCUUGGUUCCACUCGGCGUGAUAAGUUAUCUAUCGCUGAGGACACUGUAAAAGGUGGCCAAGGUAAAUGCAGAUGAACCGCUUCUAAGAGUCCAUUGACUUGGACAAUACUUUUAUGAUCUGAUCUCAAAUCAGGGAGGACUACCCGCUGAACUUAAGC